Molecule: ribosomal RNA, 274 nt
Filed under: uncultured bacterium
Lineage: Bacteria
Description: partial 16S ribosomal RNA
Rfam family: Archaeal small subunit ribosomal RNA
Source: RNAcentral
AAACCAGCACCUCAAGUGGUCAGGAUGAUUAUUGGGCCUAAAGCAUCCGUAGCCGGCUCAGUAAGUUUUCGGUUAAAUCUGUACGCUCAACGUACAGGCUGCCGGGAAUACUGCAGAGCUAGGGAGUGAGAGAGGUAGACGGUACUCGGGAGGAAGUGGUAAAAUGCUUUGAUCUUUCGAUGACCACCUGUGGCGAAGGCGGUCUACCAGAACACGUCCGACGGUGAGGGAUGAAAGCUGGGGGAGCAAACCGAAUUAGAUACCCGAGUAGUCC